GAGUUCCCUUCGGGGACAUUGGUGACAGGUGGUGCAUGGUUGUCGUCAGCUCGUGUCGUGAGAUGUUGGGUUAAGUCCCGCAACGAGCGCAACCCUUGUCUUUAGUUGCCAUCAUUAAGUUGGGCACGCUAGAGAGACUGCCAGGGAUAACCUGGAGGAAGGUGGGGAUGACGUCAAAUCAUCAUGCCCCUUAUGCUUAGGGCUACACACGUGCUACAAUGGGUAGUACAGAGGGUUGCCAAGCCGUAAGG
This 251-nucleotide ribosomal RNA is filed under the name Clostridioides difficile. RNAcentral's name for it is "partial 16S ribosomal RNA". It matches the Rfam family "Bacterial small subunit ribosomal RNA", at positions 1011 to 1262 of the family's 1533-position model. Lineage: Bacteria; Bacillati; Bacillota; Clostridia; Peptostreptococcales; Peptostreptococcaceae. The record is from RNAcentral.